CAGGCUUAACACAUGCAAGUCGAGGGGCAGCAUGGUCUUAGCUUGCUAAGGCCGAUGGCGACCGGCGCACGGGUGAGUAACACGUAUCCAACCUGCCGUCUACUCUUGGACAGCCUUCUGAAAGGAAGAUUAAUACAAGAUGGCAUCAUGAGUCCGCAUGUUCACAUGAUUAAAGGUAUUCCGGUAGACGAUGGGGAUGCGUUCCAUUAGAUAGUAGGCGGGGUAACGGCCCACCUAGUCUUCGAUGGAUAGGGGUUCUGAGAGGAAGGUCCCCCACAUUGGAACUGAGACACGGUCCAAACUCCUACGGGAGGCAGCAGUGAGGAAUAUUGGUCAAUGGGCGCAGGCCUGAACCAGCCAAGUAGCGUGAAGGAUGACUGCCCUAUGGGUUGUAAACUUCUUUUAUAAAGGAAUAAAGUCGGGUAUGGAUACCCGUUUGCAUGUACUUUAUGAAUAAGGAUCGGCUAGCUCCGUGCCAGCAGCCGCGGUAAUACGGAGGAUCCGAGCGUUAUCCGGAUUUAUUGGGUUUAAAGGGAGCGUAGAUGGAUGUUUAAGUCAGUUGUGAAAGUUUGCGGCUCAACCGUAAAAUUGCAGUUGAUACUGGAUAUCUUGAGUGCAGUUGAGGCAGGCGGAAUUCGUGGUGUAGCGGUGAAAUGCUUAGAUAUCACGAAGAACUCCGAUUGCGAAGGCAGCCUGCUAAGCUGCAACUGACAUUGAGGCUCGAAAGUGUGGGUAUCAAACAGGAUUAGAUACCCUGGUAGUCCACACGGUAAACGAUGAAUACUCGCUGUUUGCGAUAUACGGCAAGCGGCCAAGCGAAAGCGUUAAGUAUUCCACCUGGGGAGUACGCCGGCAACGGUGAAACUCAAAGGAAUUGACGGGGGCCCGCACAAGCGGAGGAACAUGUGGUUUAAUUCGAUGAUACGCGAGGAACCUUACCCGGGCUUAAAUUGCAGAUGAAUUACGGUGAAAGCCGUAAGCCGCAAGGCAUCUGUGAAGGUGCUGCAUGGUUGUCGUCAGCUCGUGCCGUGAGGUGUCGGCUUAAGUGCCAUAACGAGCGCAACCCUUGUUGUCAGUUACUAACAGGUUCUGCUGAGGACUCUGACAAGACUGCCAUCGUAAGAUGUGAGGAAGGUGGGGAUGACGUCAAAUCAGCACGGCCCUUACGUCCGGGGCUACACACGUGUUACAAUGGGGGGUACAGAGGGCCGCUACCACGCGAGUGGAUGCCAAUCCCAAAAACCUCUCUCAGUUCGGACUGGAGUCUGCAACCCGACUCCACGAAGCUGGAUUCGCUAGUAAUCGCGCAUCAGCCACGGCGCGGUGAAUACGUUCCCGGGCCUUGUACACACCGCCCGUCAAGCCAUGGGAGCCGGGGGUACCUGAAGUGCGUAACCGCGAGGAGCGCCCUAGGGUAAAACUGGUGACUGGGGCUAAGU
This 1439-nucleotide ribosomal RNA is filed under the name uncultured organism. RNAcentral describes it as "16S ribosomal RNA". It matches the Rfam family "Bacterial small subunit ribosomal RNA". The record is from RNAcentral.